This is a long non-coding RNA of Stomoxys calcitrans (stable fly), 324 nucleotides long. RefSeq lists it as uncharacterized. The transcript has 2 exons. The record is from RefSeq and is a predicted model, not a curated record. Lineage: Eukaryota; Metazoa; Arthropoda; Insecta; Diptera; Muscidae.
GUAAACCAAAUUUUUCUUCUUGUUAUUGUGGCAGUUGUUGAUGAUGUUGUCAUUAAAAAUUUGUUGCGAUGUUGGGCGUUUUUGUUGUAUGGACAGCGACACUUCUUCCAAAUGGUCACUGCUGUAGCUUUGUUGUAAGCUGCUGCUGUUGUUGUUAUCCUUUGCAAUUGUCCACGACUGCAGCAAUGUUGCCAGGAUUCUCUUGCAGUAUGCAGAUAAUUGUUUUUGUUUUUAGUUGUUUGAUGUUGUUGAUGAUGACGAUGAUGCCAAACCGAUUUUUUUGUUAUUUUUAUAAUCCCAAUAAAAUGCGUUUUUAGCAUUUAA